Molecule: long non-coding RNA, 1798 nt
Organism: Heterocephalus glaber (naked mole-rat)
Lineage: Eukaryota; Metazoa; Chordata; Mammalia; Rodentia; Bathyergidae
Source: Ensembl
CCCUCAGCGACGCUGCCUGCGGAGACCGACGGGGUGAGGAGCACCCAAAACAGACAGAUUGCGCUGGGAGCCCACAAGGGCCCGCCAACAAUGGACUGUGUGUUCUCCCGGGGCGGAUCACACCCGCUCCCAGCUCAUAAAGGCCCUUUAUAUAACUCCACUCAGGCGGGGCCUGGGCGGGGCAGCUGCAGGAGGUCCCACACCCGGGCCGGCACAGGCCUGGCAGCCCGUGGGCCGCCUCCCACACCCAGGGCUGUCCCCUCCGGGAGCCACCGCCUCCACCAGGGCACUUCCCCGGCAGCUCCCGUCCAGAUCUGGGAUUCAGACUCCCGUGGGCCACAGGCCAAGGCAGGAGAAAGGGUGGCACCUCGUGAUGGGAGUGGUCUGUCCAGGGGCCCCUUUUCCAGAGAACCAUGGCCUCCUACUCUUGAGUGCUUUCCUGGCCACGAAUGAUGCAGGUCCGGAUGCCAGCAUCCUGACCGACUGCACACGCUGCAGUGAAAUUCAGUGUCACCGGGAAAGCCUCCUGUGGAAGCUGGGCCGUCUGCACAGGGUAGAGCUCUGUGUGGGGGCGCAGGCCGGGCAUGCACGAGACCCCGGGUUCCACCCCAGCACUGCGAAAUGAAGCAAAGGAGAGGGGAGGAAGAGAGGAAGGAGGGAGGCGCUGGCUUCUCCCGGGAGAGAUUAAGCUUCCCUGGCCCAGGGCAAGGACAGCCGCAGACUGCGUAACUCCAGCUGCUAAGGCAGACUCCAGAAGCUCAGCUGCCCUCCGCGCCGAGGCCGCAGUGCUGUGCAGAAGUGCACCUGGCUGCACACACUGAAGAGCAACCGGCACCGAAACACAGCGUGCUGAGGGCUGACCUCCACUCAGGAGCGAAGAGAGCGAACAAACCCCCAUGUCAGUUGGCAGAGCCUGGGCCACCUACACGUUCCGAACCUCUCGGGGCCUCAGUGUCUCUCGGUGUAUAUUUGGAAUUAAAGAUGGGCGAGACCAAAAUAUGAAACAAGGGAGCCCACCCUAGAGAAACAACCACCACUGCAGACCCCAGCGGGCUACUGUGACGUACACCGGCUUCUCUUCCUAGCGAGCCAGAAUCAUUCUGAGAGACCAGCGAUGAAGCCCACCCGGCAUACACCGCUCUGAACCCGGGAAGCGGGCAGGCUCGUCCUGCAAGUACUUAGUCCCAACGCUCACGUAUUUUACCCAGCCAACUGCUCAUUUUGCUGCGUGAACUUGCCUGUCCAACCGGAGAGUGCGCUUCUCUGUCCUCAGCAGGAGAUGGCGACAGAGCUCCACCCCAGUCCCUGAAGACUGGCUAAAAAGCAGGAACGGGAAAAAGCGAAAAGGAAGGGAAAGGAGGAGUGGAGGGAUCAGAAAUGACUUCUGUCAACAAACUCUUAGGAAGGGAGAAAUAAAACCACUGGUUUCAGUCUUUAGAACUGAGCUCUCAUUCUAGCCCAUUGAGAAGCACAAGAGGACAAAAUGCAGAAAAACCCCUGACAUCCAAAUUUGCAACAAAUAAGUGGGAGAUACAGAAUCUAUUCCUAAUCUUAAGCCCAGAUAAAACACCACUGACUUGUUAGCCGUCUACCGUGAGCCGUGAGUUGUUCUUAGGGUUUCUCUGCAGACCCUGGGCAAGCAAACCUCUCAGCAAUGCCCCCACUUCUGUGCUCAGAGCUCUGUCUUCUGUUUAAAAGGAGCGUCCAGGAACAGGGUCUCCUGGUCCCCGGCCCCAGCUGAGUAGAGCCGGUGCUCAUGAAAAUUCCUCUCCCACUGGGGAAGCCACAGCCACUUGCC